CCGAGAGCUGUCCAUGACUGUGAUUCCUGUUUGACAUUCCAGGGCAUUAGUGAAGGGUUCUGCACAUUUCUUUCCCCAGGGACAAUGUGAAUCCAUCCAAGAGGUGUCGUGGCCCAGCUGGGAAAACAUUUCAGGCCACUGCCUUGACUGUUGGCUAUGGAACUUGCUCAAGGAGCUGCAGGGCCCAGGAAGAUUUUCCUGUGGAGUGCCCCAGGACUGAAAGACCAGAGUGUCCCUGUGGGGGAUCCUUGACCAGAGCAAAAGGGCUAUGAUGUCUUUGGGGUGCUGAGGACACCUUGGAAUGGAAUUGAGGACAUGUCUUUAGGAUUCUAAUUGCAGAAGGAGGCCAAGGAGAGAUCCAGGCCUCCUUGGAGAUCAGUGCCAGUCAGGGGGGUGGCACUGGACAGCCACUGACCACGUGCCAACAGCCCGGGCAGAAGGAGCUGGACAUGCCCAGAGGCUCCCAGUGUGGGCAGAUUGGCCCUGCAGCUUCAGGGACCCCAUGGGAAUGUCCCUGCCCCCCUCGGGGCUGUGGAUGAGCUGUGCAGAAUCUCUCCCUACAGCUCUCAGCAGCAUUUCAGCAAUGAGAUGGACACCGGUGUCAGAAGAGACUGAGAACCAGGAGGCUCCACAGUGUCUCUGAGUGCCCUGUCUCUGAGUGCCCUUGGUUCCAUGAGGCCCCACAGAAUCCCAGGAUGUGCUGUGGCAGUCCCGUUGUCCUGCUCCCUGUGACACCACAGCGGUUGCUGCCUGAGCGUUCCCCUCUCUGUGACACUGCAACUGUGGCAGCAGCACAAGAACAGAAGCAGCAGUCGUGCAACAACAGGGGAGCCGUGGAGGAGCAGAGAUGGAGCUCAGAAUAGCAGGAGAUGAGCAGUGGUGGAGCAGUGGUGGAACAGUGGUGGAGCAGUGUUGGACAAGCAGAGGAACUGUGCUGGAACACCCCCAGAGCAGCACUGGAGCAGCUUUUGAGCAGCAGUGGAGUAACCAUGGAAAAGGUGGAACAGUGGUGGGACAGGAGCCACAGCCAUGAACAGUGGUGGGACAGGAACCACAGCCAUGAACAGUGGUGGCACAGGAACCACAGCCAUGAACAGUGGUGGAACCGGAACCACAGCCAUGUGUGAUACUCACAUGCCCUCUGAGCAGAGAGACAUAAUUCUGUCUCUCAGGUUUUUUCCUGGAGAAGUACAGAGGGAAAACAGUUUUUAUCUCUGCUUGCUGCUCCUGGUAUUCUGCACAAGUGGAAUGUGUUGGGAAGGUUGUUUACCUCAAGGAAUUUGGUCAUUGGAUUCUGGUGGAGAUUUUUUUAUGUUAAUUAGCCCAUCAGGUCCAAGCUGUGCGGACCUGUGGGUCUGCAUACAGUCACAAGUUUUUAGUUAGAAGUAAGUAUUCUUUAGUAUUCUUUGUAGUAUUGUUA
This is a long non-coding RNA of Haemorhous mexicanus (house finch), 1420 nucleotides long. RefSeq lists it as uncharacterized. The transcript is spliced from 3 exons. NCBI's taxonomy places the organism in Eukaryota, Metazoa, Chordata, Aves, Passeriformes, Fringillidae. The record is from RefSeq and is a predicted model, not a curated record.